Mandrillus leucophaeus (drill) is the source of this 505-nucleotide long non-coding RNA. RefSeq lists it as uncharacterized. The record is from RefSeq and is a predicted model, not a curated record. NCBI's taxonomy places the organism in Eukaryota, Metazoa, Chordata, Mammalia, Primates, Cercopithecidae. The transcript is spliced from 3 exons.
AGAGAGCUGGAGAUUUUUAUUUUUUUCUUUUUAAAAAUGUUGCAUCUUCCCAAAUAAAUUUAGCAACUUAGUUUGGUUGGCGGUAAAAUGCAUCCAAAACACAGCUUAAAUAAAACAGUCAAACAAUCUUCCUUACAAUUUAGAUUAUUCAUGAUUCAUUUAUACUUUCACCAAGCACUGGUAUGACCUUAAAAUAAAGAGUUUAAGUGAAUGUUUUCAUUACUGCACACAGGUAAUAGUAUUCAACUGAAAUGAAGACAGCCAGAUAAUAGUGAUGACUAUUUUUUUUCACACCUAAUCAAGCUGCAAUUCUCCUAGAGUGCUUCUACUUCUCAUUCUUCAACUGAAAGCUCUCUCUUAUACCUAAACAGGUAAAGUGGAAAAGGAAUUUGAUGUUUUAUCAUCCACAAUUUAAUAAAGCUGUGGGUCACUGAGGCUCAUUCUACUGUUUUCUUUGGUAGUUUAAGAUGCUAACUAAAUUGCCAUUGUACAAGGACCCCAAAUU